RNAcentral lists this ribosomal RNA (253 nucleotides) under uncultured bacterium. RNAcentral's name for it is "partial 16S ribosomal RNA". It matches the Rfam family "Bacterial small subunit ribosomal RNA", at positions 524 to 776 of the family's 1533-position model. The record is from RNAcentral.
UACGUAGGGUGCGAGCGUUGUCCGGAUUUAUUGGGCGUAAAGAGCUCGUAGGCGGUCUGUCGCGUCGGAUGUGAAGACCCAGGGCUCAACCCUGGGCCUGCAUUCGAUACGGGCAGACUAGAGUACGGCAGGGGAGACUGGAAUUCCUGGUGUAGCGGUGAAAUGCGCAGAUAUCAGGAGGAACACCGGUGGCGAAGGCGGGUCUCUGGGCCGAAACUGACGCUGAGGAGCGAAAGCGUGGGGAGCGAACAGG